This 460-nucleotide ribosomal RNA is filed under the name uncultured bacterium. RNAcentral describes it as "partial 16S ribosomal RNA". It matches the Rfam family "Bacterial small subunit ribosomal RNA", at positions 338 to 795 of the family's 1533-position model. The record is from RNAcentral.
CCUACGGGUGGCAGCAGUGAGGAAUAUUGGUCAAUGGGCGGAAGCCUGAACCAGCCAAGUAGCGUGCAGGAUGACGGCCCUACGGGUUGUAAACUGCUUUUAUACGGGAAUAACGCGCCUUACGUGUAGGGCUUCGCAUGUACCGUAUGAAUAAGGCACGGCCAAUUCCGUUCCCGCCGCCGCGGUAAUACGGAGGGUGCCAGCGUUUAUCGGAAUAACUGGGGGUAAAGAGCGCGUUGGGGGGAUAGCAAGUCAGAUGUGAAAACCGAUGGCUUAACCAUAGAUCUGCAUUUGAAACUGUUGUUCUUGAGUGUGGGAGAAGUAGGUGGAAUUCGUGGUGUAGGGGUGAAAUCCGUAGAGAUCAAGAAGAAUACUCAUUGCGAAGGCGACCUGCUAGAGCAUAACUGACGCUGAUGCGCGAAAGCGUGGGGAGCGAACAGGAUUAGAUACCCCUGUAGUC